GACGAACGCUGGCGGCGUGCCUAAUACAUGCAAGUAGAACGCUGAAGAGAGGAGCUUACUCUUCUUGGAUGAGUUGCGAACGGGUGAGUAACGCGUAGGUAACCUGCCUUGUAGCGGGGGAUAACUAUUGGAAACGAUAGCUCAUACCGCAUAACAAUGGAUGACACAUGUCGUUUAUUUGAAAGGGGCAAUUGCUCCACUACAAGAUGGACCUGCGUUGUAUUAGCUAGUAGGUGAGGUAAUGGCUCACCUAGGCGACGAUACAUAGCCGACCUGAGAGGGUGGUCGGCCAGCCUGGGACUGAGACACGGCCCAGACUCCUACGGGAGGCAGCAGUAGGGAAACUUCGGCAAUGGGGGCAACCCUGACCGAGCAACGCCGCGUGAGUGAAGAAGGUUUUCGGGUCGUAAAGCUCUGUUGUAAGUCAAGAACGGGUGUGAGAGUGGAAAGUUCACACUGUGACGGUAGCUUACCAGAAAGGGACGGCUAACUACGUG
Molecule: ribosomal RNA, 497 nt
Filed under: uncultured bacterium
Lineage: Bacteria
Description: partial 16S ribosomal RNA
Rfam family: Bacterial small subunit ribosomal RNA
Source: RNAcentral